RNAcentral lists this transfer RNA (72 nucleotides) under Betta tussyae. RNAcentral's name for it is "tRNA-Val". It matches the Rfam family "tRNA". From Rfam's summary of the family: Transfer RNA (tRNA) molecules are approximately 80 nucleotides in length. Their secondary structure includes four short double-helical elements and three loops (D, anti-codon, and T loops). The record is from RNAcentral. Lineage: Eukaryota; Metazoa; Chordata; Actinopteri; Anabantiformes; Osphronemidae.
CAAGAUGUAGCUAAAACAGUAAAGCAUCUCUCUUACACUGAGAAGUCGUCCGUGCAAGUCGAACCAUUUUGA